UUCGCGAGUGCAAACCCUAAUUCCCUCCUGUCGGCGACCAUUUCUUCUCUUCCAACCACAAUAUUGAACACCAGUACUCAGGUAGACAGAUCUGUGAGCUGUGGGAGGAAAGGAAAGCGCUUGAAUUGUGAAACUGAAAAGCAUCGAUCAAGAUAGCGGGUUUAUCUUGUUUCUUUUUGUGUCCUUGGUUGAGAGCUUAACACCUGUCACAGAAGCCCACCCAACAUUGUUCAAAGGAGAAAGAAGAGAAAGCUACAAGUACAGGGAGAAGGAGAAGGUAAAAGGGAGGGGUGUGGCUGAGAUCGAAGACGCUUAAAAACAAAGCAGAAAGAGUUAGAUUGAAGGUACACAUUAGACAGAAUAGAUAACACUGUAGGGGUCGGGCCAUAUAUCUUUUC
This is a long non-coding RNA of Arachis duranensis, 398 nucleotides long. RefSeq lists it as uncharacterized. The record is from RefSeq and is a predicted model, not a curated record. Lineage: Eukaryota; Viridiplantae; Streptophyta; Magnoliopsida; Fabales; Fabaceae. The transcript is spliced from 3 exons.